Molecule: transfer RNA, 25 nt
Filed under: Datura inoxia (sacred datura)
Lineage: Eukaryota; Viridiplantae; Streptophyta; Magnoliopsida; Solanales; Solanaceae
Also listed under: 2 other names
Description: partial tRNA-Leu
Source: RNAcentral
CUGGUUCAAGUCCCCUCUAUCCCCA